AUUAGAGUUUGAUCAUGGCUCAGAACGAACGCUGGCGGCAGGCUUAACACAUGCAAGUCGAACGCACCGCAAGGUGAGUGGCAGACGGGUGAGUAACGCGUGGGAACCUACCCUUUACUACGGAAUAACUGAGGGAAACUUCAGCUAAUACCGUAUACGCCCUACGGGGAAAGAUUUAUCGGUAAAGGAUGGGCCCGCGUUGGAUUAGCUAGUUGGUGGGGUAAUGGCCUACCAAGGCGACGAUCCAUAGCUGGUCUGAGAGGAUGAUCAGCCACAACUGGGACUGAGACACGGCCCAGACUCCUACGGGAGGCAGCAGUGGGGAAUAUUGGACAAUGGGGGAAACCCUGAUCCAGCCAUGCCGCGUGAGUGAUGAGGCCUUAGGGUUGUAAAGCUCUUUCAGUGGGGAAGG
Molecule: ribosomal RNA, 412 nt
Filed under: uncultured bacterium
Lineage: Bacteria
Description: bacterial SSU rRNA
Rfam family: Bacterial small subunit ribosomal RNA
Source: RNAcentral